GAUGAACGCUGGCGGCGUGCCUAAUACAUGCAAGUCGAGCGAACAGAUGAGGAGCUUGCUCCUCUGACGUUAGCGGCGGACGGGUGAGUAACACGUGGAUAACCUACCUAUAAGACUGGGAUAACUUCGGGAAACCGGAACUAAUACCGGAUAAUAUAUUGAACCGCAUGGUUCAAUAGUGAAAGACGGUUUUGCUGUCACUUAUAGAUGGAUCCGCGCCGCAUUAGCUAGUUGGUAAGGUAACGGCUUACCAAGGCAACGAUGCGUAGCCGACCUGAGAGGGUGAUCGGCCACACUGGAACUGAGACACGGUCCAGACUCCUACGGGAGGCAGCAGUAGGGAAUCUUCCGCAAUGGGCGAAAGCCUGACGGAGCAACGCCGCGUGAGUGAUGAAGGUCUUCGGAUCGUAAAACUCUGUUAUUAGGGAAGAACAAAUGUGUAAGUAACUAUGCACGUCUUGACGGUACCUAAUCAGAAAGCCACGGCUAACUACGUG
This 497-nucleotide ribosomal RNA is filed under the name uncultured bacterium. Its description in RNAcentral is "partial 16S ribosomal RNA". It matches the Rfam family "Bacterial small subunit ribosomal RNA", at positions 28 to 507 of the family's 1533-position model. The record is from RNAcentral.